This 98-nucleotide ribosomal RNA is filed under the name Bison bison bison. The record is from RNAcentral. Lineage: Eukaryota; Metazoa; Chordata; Mammalia; Artiodactyla; Bovidae.
AUCAGCCUGAAGGCGCCCGAUCUGGUCUGAUCUCGGAAGCUAAGCAGGGUCGGGCCUGGUUAGUAUCUUGGAUGGGAGACCACCUGGGAAUCCCGGGU